AUCGAGAUGACGAGUCCGAAAUAGGACGAAACGCGCUUCUUGAAU
Molecule: non-coding RNA, 45 nt
Filed under: Schistosoma mattheei
Lineage: Eukaryota; Metazoa; Platyhelminthes; Trematoda; Strigeidida; Schistosomatidae
Source: RNAcentral